CGAGUGUAGAGGUGAAAUUCGUAGAUAUUCGGUGGAACACCAGUGGCGAAGGCGACUAACUGGACUGAUACUGACGCUGAGGUGCGAAAGUGUGGGGAGCAAACAGGAUUAGAUACCCUGGUAGUCCACGCCCUAAACGAUGUCAACUAGGUGUAUGGAGAAUUUAUUCUUUGUGUAUCGAAGCUAACGCGAUAAGUUGACCGCCUGGGGAGUACGGUCGCAAGACUAAAACUCAAAUGAAUUGACGGGGGCCCGCACAAGCGGUGGAGCAUGUGG
Molecule: ribosomal RNA, 276 nt
Filed under: Thalassiosira minuscula
Lineage: Eukaryota; Bacillariophyta; Thalassiosirophyceae; Thalassiosirales; Thalassiosiraceae
Description: partial Bacterial small subunit ribosomal RNA
Rfam family: Bacterial small subunit ribosomal RNA
Source: RNAcentral